GUCCCCGUAGCCCAACGGCAGAGGCAAACCCCUUAAAAGGGUUCGAGUGAGGGUUCGAGUCCCUCCGGGGGCAC
This 74-nucleotide transfer RNA is filed under the name Streptosporangium roseum. RNAcentral's name for it is "tRNA-Leu". It matches the Rfam family "tRNA". Rfam says of the family: Transfer RNA (tRNA) molecules are approximately 80 nucleotides in length. Their secondary structure includes four short double-helical elements and three loops (D, anti-codon, and T loops). Further hydrogen bonds mediate the characteristic L-shaped molecular structure. tRNAs have two regions of fundamental functional importance: the anti-codon, which is responsible for specific mRNA codon recognition, and the 3' end, to which the tRNAs corresponding amino acid is attached (by aminoacyl-tRNA synthetases). tRNAs cope with the degeneracy of the genetic code in two manners: having more than one tRNA (with a specific anti-codon) for a particular amino acid; and 'wobble' base-pairing, i.e. permitting non-standard base-pairing at the 3rd anti-codon position. RNAcentral also lists the same sequence under 3 other names. The record is from RNAcentral. Lineage: Bacteria; Bacillati; Actinomycetota; Actinomycetes; Streptosporangiales; Streptosporangiaceae.